Perca fluviatilis (European perch) is the source of this 467-nucleotide long non-coding RNA. RefSeq lists it as uncharacterized. Lineage: Eukaryota; Metazoa; Chordata; Actinopteri; Perciformes; Percidae. The transcript is spliced from 4 exons. The record is from RefSeq and is a predicted model, not a curated record.
AAACAUACGCCAAGGAGGUUAUGUUUUUGACUCAGUUUGUCUGUACGUCUGUUUGUUCCUUCCUUUUUCUGUCUGUCAACAGAAUUACUGAAAAUGUACUGGCCCCAUUUUCAUGAAACCUGGUGAAAGGGUGUAGAUUGGCCCUAGGAAGAAACCAUUACAUUUUGGAGCGGAUCCGAACUACGGUUUUCUAACAACAGAGGAGAGGCAUCUUUAAAGACGACGUCCGUCUUCAUUAGAGAUGAGAGGAGCAGCUAUGAGUUUAACUGCAGCAGCGAGUGGAUUUGUUGUCUUCCUUCUCUCUGUGUCAGGUACUGUAUAUCUACAGUUACAUUCAUUCUUUAAAAGAGGGAUUCUGGGAAAAUGUGGGACUGAAGGUCAUUAUGUGGAAAUAAGUGGAUCAGAGUUGUGUGAAAGGCAAACUUCCAGAAAUGCUACAAAUAGUAGUUUUGUUUACAAUUGUGGAA